UAGGACACUGAAAAUUGUCUAGUGAGUCCA
RNAcentral lists this non-coding RNA (30 nucleotides) under Mus musculus (house mouse). Lineage: Eukaryota; Metazoa; Chordata; Mammalia; Rodentia; Muridae. The record is from RNAcentral.